Molecule: ribosomal RNA, 269 nt
Filed under: uncultured bacterium
Lineage: Bacteria
Description: partial small subunit ribosomal RNA
Rfam family: Bacterial small subunit ribosomal RNA
Source: RNAcentral
AGAGCGAACGCUGGCGGCGUGCUUAACACAUGCAAGUCGAACGCGCAGCAUUCUGUAGCAAUACAGGGUGUGGGCGCGUGGCGAACGGGUGCGUAACACGUGGAUAACCUUCCUUGAGGUGGGGAAUAACCCAGUGAAAAUUGGGCUAAUACCGCAUAACAUCGCGAUGGCACAUGCUGAUGCGAUCAAAGGCGCAAGUCGCCACAAGAGGGAUCCGCGGCCGAUUAGCUAGUUGGUGAGGUAAUGGCUCACCAAGGCAAUGAUCGGUA